RNAcentral lists this small RNA (107 nucleotides) under Marmota monax (woodchuck). Lineage: Eukaryota; Metazoa; Chordata; Mammalia; Rodentia; Sciuridae. The record is from RNAcentral.
GCCAGGUGUGGUGGCACAUGCCUGUAAUCCUAGAGACUCUGGAGGCCGAGGCAGGAGGAUGGCAAGUUCAAGGACAGCCUUGGCAACUUAGUGAGACCCUGUCUCUA